Molecule: long non-coding RNA, 328 nt
Filed under: Fukomys damarensis (Damara mole-rat)
Lineage: Eukaryota; Metazoa; Chordata; Mammalia; Rodentia; Bathyergidae
Description: lncRNA (ENSFDAG00000027591.1)
Source: RNAcentral
GGCGCGGGGGCGGGGGCGGGGGCGGGGCCUCCUUAAAGGUACAGGCACAGAGCCCCCGGCCCUAGGCUGGCGUGGGAUUCCGUCUUGCAAACCUCCCUCCUCCCCUCCCGUCCUGUGCGUGCAGCACCUGUUCCCGCGCUGCCGCCCACGUAAGGCCUCGCGGAGACAAAAGCCUGUCUGCUAUUUUGAACCUAAGUAAACUUUCAAAGGUCUCAAAAUAACUGAGCUGUGACAUCAUCAUAAAAGACUGACCUGAACCACACCAAGUCCGUUUCCUGGGACAGAGCCUGCGGAGGUAAUGUCCCAUCUGUCUGUCCCAUCUGAGUCC